This 464-nucleotide ribosomal RNA is filed under the name uncultured bacterium. RNAcentral's name for it is "partial 16S ribosomal RNA". It matches the Rfam family "Bacterial small subunit ribosomal RNA", at positions 339 to 795 of the family's 1533-position model. The record is from RNAcentral.
CUACGGGCGGCUGCAGCUAAGAAUCUUCCGCAAUGGGCGCAAGCCUGACGGAGCGACGCCGCGUGGGUGAAGAAGGCCGAGAGGUUGUAAAGCCCUUUUCUGUCUGAGGAAUAAGCCUGGGAGGGAAUGCCCGGGUGAUGACGGUAAGACAGGAAUAAGCCCCGGCUAAUUACGUGCCAGCAGCCGCGGUAACACGUAUGGGGCGAGCGUUGUUCGGAAUCAUUGGGCGUAAAGGGCGCGUAGGCGGAGAUGCAAGUCUGGUGUGAAAGACCGCAGCUUAACUGCGGGACCGCGCUGGAAACUGCAUAUCUUGAGUUCCGGAGGGGGAGUUGGAAUUCCUGGUGUAGGGGUGAAAUCUGUUGAUAUCAGGAAGAACACCGGUGGCGAAGGCGAACUCCUGGACGGAAACUGACGCUGAGGCGCGAAAGCGUGGGGAGCGAACAGGAUUAGAUACCCCAGUAGUC